GAUAAGGUUAAGUUAAUAAGGGCGCACGGUGGAUGCCUUGGCACUAGAAGCCGAAGAAGGACGUGACUAACGACGAAAUGCUUUGGGGAGCUGUAAGUAAGCGCUGAUCCAGAGAUGUCCGAAUGGGGGAACCCACUAGCUACUGGCUAGUAUCCAUAACUGUUAAGGUUAUGAGAAGGAAGACGCAGUGAACUGAAACAUCUAAGUAGCUGCAGGAAGAGAAAGCAAACGCGAUUGCCUUAGUAGCGGCGAGCGAAACGGCAGGAGGGCAAACCGAGAAGUUUACUUCUCGGGGUUGUAGGACUGCGACGUGGGACUUUAAAAGGAUAGAAGAAUU
This 337-nucleotide ribosomal RNA is filed under the name Streptococcus dysgalactiae subsp. equisimilis. RNAcentral's name for it is "bacterial LSU rRNA". It matches the Rfam family "Bacterial large subunit ribosomal RNA", at positions 1 to 339 of the family's 2925-position model. The record is from RNAcentral. Lineage: Bacteria; Bacillati; Bacillota; Bacilli; Lactobacillales; Streptococcaceae.